GCGAAGGUGUGUGUGCGCGUGGGGGCGUGGGCGCGUGUGCGUGCGUGUCCGCGGGUCAAGCAGAUGGAAAACCACACAGUUGUCUAGCAGUUGUAAAACAAAAUUGCAUCUCCUUUUAAAAUGGGAGGAGACACCAUUGCAGAAUCCACACCGUGAACUGUUUGUAGAUGGAUCAGCCUUCACAGACCGCAGUAGGGAAGAAAGAAAUGGAAACCAGGCAGUGGCUGGGACUGUUCCAGUUACUUCUGACCAUGCAGACUGCGGUGAAAAUUGCUGAUUGAGCAAUGUGGAUUCAUGUUAGCCACUGUAAUCUGUUAAAUAAGUAAUUGUGUGCACAUCC
This is a long non-coding RNA of Tachysurus fulvidraco (yellow catfish), 340 nucleotides long. RefSeq lists it as uncharacterized. Lineage: Eukaryota; Metazoa; Chordata; Actinopteri; Siluriformes; Bagridae. The transcript is spliced from 3 exons. The record is from RefSeq and is a predicted model, not a curated record.